Molecule: long non-coding RNA, 4101 nt
Filed under: Homo sapiens (human)
Lineage: Eukaryota; Metazoa; Chordata; Mammalia; Primates; Hominidae
Description: PREDICTED lncRNA (TCONS_00085956)
Rfam family: Small Cajal body specific RNA 15 (bases 3062-3188)
Source: RNAcentral
GAGUUUGAGACCAGCCUGGGGCAACAGGGCAAAACCCCAUCUCUACAAAACUGCACCCAGCUAUUUUGUAUUAUUUUUAUCUCGUUGCUUUUUUUUUUUUUCUUUUUCUUUCUUUCUUUUUUUUUUUUAGUGGUUUCAGGCAGUGGUUCAGACCAGCUGCUAGAGAAUCAUGGGCUAAGAAGAGAAGACUACCAAUUUAGUAGAUUUGGACAUGGACAAGCCACAGGCAGUUUCUCUUCUCACUCUCUUGGCCAGUCAUCUCUUGCUCACCUUCCCCUGCCAGUAGCCAGUAGCAUGUGACAGCCUCUAUAUUCCAUCUCCCUUUUCUCCCUCUUCCAGAACUAAGAUGAGUUUUCAAUGGAUAACUGUACAGAAACAUACCCACUGCUGAGUUUAUAAUAAAUAGGUAAAUGGUGUUUAAAAUGCCUUCUGUAGGAAUCCUUGGUAGAUAGUUAUAUGUGGUUGUUUUUUGGGAAGUUGGCUUGAGGUUCUUUGAAGGGCUGGGAACGUGUAUUUCUUUUGCGUGUGCCUGUGUGUGUCAAAAUUUUAUAUGUUCAUCAGUGCUCUACACGUUCAGAGAAACGUUUCCAAUAACGAACCAUAGAAUGAUCCCUGGAGCAUAGGAUCCCACUGUUUGAAAAUUCUAGCCAUCGAUCACUUUAUAAGAAAAGGAUGAAAUUUCAAACAAGGAGUUUGUUUAUCUGAUUUCCACCCUACAGAUAAUAUAUAAAUUUGGCCAAAGUUGUUUGGGGAAGAGGGGCUGUUGUUAGGUACUGAGCUAUAAUACUUUGUUGCUUUGUAUCACUUUUAAAAGUGACUUUUAAAGAUACUUGACAUUUGAAAAGGAAUCACCUUUGAUCUUUCUAAGUCCCUAAUUUGACAUUACCUUUAUAGCAUAUAAUUUAUUCCAUAAAGUCUUAGAUCCUGAAACUAGUGGAAAGCCAAAUACUCAUGUUGUGCUAUAAAUAUAGGAUUGACAGUUAAGCUUACUCAGUAGUCAAGGGGGCGGCUUUCACUCACCAGCCUCCAGGGCAUAUGAACCAAAUUUAUGAUUCAGAACAUUUAAAAUAUACAUUUUGAAGAUCUUUGGGCUCUCUUAAGUAUAGUCUAACUAUAAUAAAUAUUAAACAUGUCAAAGGUCUCUUGCAGUGUUGGGAAGAGCAUUCUAAACCACAUACAUCUUUCCCAUCCCCAGAUUGUUCUGUGUCCCCUCCCACUCUUCCCAGAUUAGAAGUCACCAUGGAGCACUAUUAGUAAUGGGACUCUGUAUCAGAUCUUUAAGGUGUAUUGGGACAGAAGAAAGGUUGAUAUUUUGGGGUUGUUUGUUUUUUUUGAGACGGAGUUUUCACUCUUGUUGCCCAGGCUGGAGUGCUAUGGCGUGAUCUUGGCUCACUACAAUCUCCGCCUCCCUGGUUCAAGCAAUUCUCCUGCCUCAGCCUCCUGAGUAGCUGGGAUUACAUGCGCCCACCACCAUGCCCGGCUAAUUUUUGUAUUUUUAGUAGAGACGGGGUUUCAUCAUGUUGGCUAGGCUGGUCUCGAACUCCUGACCUCAGGUGAUCUGCCUGUCUUGGCCUCCCAAAAUGUUGGGAUUACAGGUGUGAGCCACCAUGCCCAGCAGGUUCAUAUUUUUAAUGUUUCCUUCUACUCCCCAAGCACACACAAAUUUGAAAGCUGCUUUGCUUUCUAAUAAAGAGGCUUUUCCUUUGAUUUUGGAAGAUAAUUUGAUGUCUCUUUUCUCUUUGCAGGUAUAUGAGCUCCCUGAAAGCACAAAGCAGUUAUUUCCAUCUUCAGAUCAUUCAGAGAUUAUGAAGGCACAAACCCUGCCUUCAAUUUGCUUAUAGUCAAGUGGAGCAGACACAAGUCAAUGAUUGCAGUAUAGCCACUGAAGUAAUCUAAAAGAGGUGAGUGUGGCACUUAACCUCUCCUGGGAGGGGGAGGAAUAAGGCAGUGUUUCCAAGAGGUGAUUUUGGAGCUAUACAGGCAUUAGGUAGACAAGGAAGGGGAGGUCCAUUCUGGGUGCCUAGGACUCUGUGGCUGAUUUAUAAAUCGUAAAUGGUACAAAAAACAGUGUUGAGUAUCUUUUACCUUUCUCCAGAGUACUGUUCUUACUUUUGGAUAGUGCUUCUUGUUUUUUCCUUCCCUCUCCCUGUCCCUGUCACCUUUAAAUUAAAUGAAUGUUUGGAAGGAAGUAGGAGGGUAAGAAUCUUUCUGGGUGGCAGAAUAAUAGAUGGGUCUACCAAGAGCGAUGUAUAUACCCAGUAAAGCCAUCUCUAAAACUGUGUUUCUGCAUUGUUACAGUGCAUAGUUGGGAAAUCUCAGUUUUGUUGGCUGUGUACUUUCCCAGUGAAUGGAUUAUAUUCCUUUCUGCGAGCCAGUCUGUUUGAAUUUAAGGGCAUCUCUUAAAUUCCUUUCAAGCAAGAGACCUAACAUUUAUACUUAGGAAUGAGAGUAGUAGAGACAGCAAGAUUAGAAUCCAAGUUCAUAUACCAAAACAUUUUUAUUUGCUAUGUCUGAGUGACUACAUGUUGUUUGAAUCAACUGCAGGCUAAUUUGUAACAUUUCAAAUAAAUGAUAGUUUAAUUCCUCCAGGAUUUGAGUAAGGUGAAAAUAGAGCUAAAAACCAUGAUUCUGUCACAGUCUGGGAAAAUGAAAAAGCAAUCAAUUAGUGAGUUGGGCUUAAUUUUUUUUUUUUUUUUUUCUGGAACUGGUGAUAGCAGAAAACAAGCAGUAAAGUAGUCAGACAUGAUAUACUUGACAAGAACCACCACCUGUUCAGUAGCAACUCUAAAAUAAGUACUAACUUAGGGGCAGUUGUUGUGCCCAGGUCAUAGUCAUACUCCUUCCAGGAGACUUCCUGAUGACAGAAAAGAUGCUGACCAGCUGGGGUCUUCUUUCCAAAUAACUUUUCUCUUGCAUUUAGAUUAAUUAACCAUUGGUUACAGUGAAACAAGCAUAUGUACAGAGUUAAUCUCCUAUAGCUUGAAGUUAUACAUGAUCUUUAUUUGAGUAUCUUGACUUGUUAAAGGACAGUGUUUUAAAAGCUGGAUUUGGUUAUGUUCUUCUGGAGACUAAGAAAAUAGAGUCCUUGAAAUCAAGCUGACUCUGCUUUUAGCCUCCUAAAUGAAAAGGUAGAUAGAACAGGUCUUGUUUGCAAAAUAAAUUCAAGACCUACUUAUCUACCAACAGCAAUUACACGCUUUCCAUUGUCUUCCUAUAGAAAAUAGGAGUAGUACACUUAUAGAUGAGAAAACUGGAGAAAGACAUAGUGAACAUGUGAGAAUCUUGCUCUACUAAUUGAUAGGAAGGUGACUAGAAAUUGGCGAAGUUUUCUUGGUAAGUUGAGGAGAGGACUUUUCUUAUAGUGCAGUCUGGUAGCUGAACCGCCUUGCAUCAAGACCAAUGUAGUCUUAUUUACAGAAUGCCACAUCACAGUGAAUUGUGCUGUGGACAGCUUCCAGUGUGUGAGUUGUGGAAGAUGAUGAUUUUAACAGAUUUUGGAGGAUGAGAAGUAUUAAGAAGAAGGCCCCACUGUCCAUGCAUUUGCUCUGCUUUUUACUUUUGACCAAGUAUACACUUCAGAAAUAUCUUAUUGGAUGUAUACAAAGUGAUUGUGUGUCAUUUGAACCAGCAGGAAGUAAUUUAUUAAACACACUUUUCUAAAUAAAAGUCAUUUAAUUUUAUCAGAAAUCAGUGUCAUUUUAGAUUGCAAGUCUCAAACCAACUUUCCAAUUCUGACUUGUAAGGGUGCCUUAAAUCCUGAAUACUGUACUCUGUAUUACUAAACCCAUGUUAGUUUACGCCAAGAUUCUGUGGUGGUUUUACAUAUUCUUUUUCCCCUUUGUUAAGGUGGGGAGGCCACAGCUUAUGUGAAUGACUUUCUCAGGAGUUAUAAAGUGAUACAGACUUAUCAGCAGGUUGCAGGUGAACAUGGCCUUGAGAUGUUUUCUUCUAAAUAAAUGAGAAAGAUGUUUCAACAAAGGCUCUUUAUGCUGAAUAAUUGUGAUGCUUGAAGUUGCUAAUCUGCUUUAAGUGGAUUUUAAAUGUCAGGCAAUUCUAGACAGUUUUUUCUUGGUCAAAUAAAAAUUUAAUUAAAACUUUAUA